This 663-nucleotide ribosomal RNA is filed under the name Notoacmea flammea. RNAcentral describes it as "partial 16S ribosomal RNA". It matches the Rfam family "Bacterial large subunit ribosomal RNA", at positions 1810 to 2601 of the family's 2925-position model. Lineage: Eukaryota; Metazoa; Mollusca; Gastropoda; Acmaeidae. The record is from RNAcentral.
GGCUUCCGGCCUCCCAUUAAACCUAGAGUUUUUUCAAGGGAGGUCAUACCUGCACAAUGCCCUGCGGGGUCAAUUGCCGCGGUAGCCUGACCGUGCUAAGGUAGCGUAAUCACCAGCCUAUUAAUUGUUGGCCUGUAUCAAUGGUCCCACGCUGGAGGCUCUGUCUCUUCGAUAUUUAUUUGAAUUUAACUUUGGGGUGAAAAGGCCCUGAUAAGCCUGAAAGACGAUUAGACCCUAUCGAACUUUAGGCUAGUUAAGAACCGGGUCUGUGGAUGCGGACUCUUUUAUGAACCUUCAGUUGGGAAAACUGGGAACCAAGCAAAGCGUUCGCCUACCAUAAUCGCACAGCUUUGGGGUCCGGGAGUGGUGUGGGUAAUUUCUCACGCUAGCCCUGUCCACACUUUCAGAUAAUUGCCUACGGGAAUAUAAAGGCAUUAUAAAGGUUAAGUUUGACAACCACAAAAGUAAGUAGUCGCACUAUCCUCAGCAGUCUGGUAUCAGAUAAACUGGGCAGUAGGAAGAGUUACCGUAGGGAUAACAGCGCAAUCCCUCUGGAGAGACCACAUUAAAGGAGGGGCUUGCGACCUCGAUGUUGGCUUAAGGGCUUCCUAAAGGCGAAGAGGCUUUUAAGGGUUGGUCUGUUCGACCAUUAAAGCCUUACGU